RNAcentral lists this ribosomal RNA (421 nucleotides) under uncultured bacterium. RNAcentral describes it as "partial 16S ribosomal RNA". It matches the Rfam family "Bacterial small subunit ribosomal RNA", at positions 360 to 773 of the family's 1533-position model. The record is from RNAcentral.
AAUAUUGGACAAUGGGGGCAACCCUGAUCCAGCCAUGCCGCGUGUGUGAAGAAGGUCUUCGGAUUGUAAAGCACUUUAAGUUGGGAGGAAGGGCUUUGCGUUCAUACCCUGAAGUCUCGACUUUACCUACAGAAUCAGCACCGGCUAAUUCUGUGCCAGCAGCCGCGGUAAUACAGAGGGUGCAAGCGUUAAUCGGAAUUACUGGGCGUAAUGCGCGCGUAGGUGGUUCAGUAAGAUGGGUGUGAAAUCCCCGGGCUUAACCUGGGAACUGCUUUCAUAACUGCUGAGCUAGAGUACGGUAGAGGGUAGUGGAAUUUCCUGUGUAGCGGUGAAAUGCGUAGAUAUAGGAAGGAACACCAGUGGCGAAGGCGACUACCUGGACUGAUACUGACACUGGGGUGCGAAAGCGUGGGGAGCAAAC